Molecule: unclassified non-coding RNA, 253 nt
Filed under: uncultured Bradymonadales bacterium
Lineage: Bacteria; Deltaproteobacteria; Bradymonadales
Description: contains 16S-23S intergenic spacer region
Rfam family: Bacterial small subunit ribosomal RNA
Source: RNAcentral
UACGGAGGGUGCGAACGUUGUUCGGAAUUAUUGGGCGUAAAGGGCACGCAGGCGGCGUGUCAGGUCGGAUGUGAAAGCCCGGGGCUCACCCCCGGAAUUGCGUUCGAAACCGGCAUGCUGGAGUCCUGGAGAGGGAAGCAGAAUUCCUGGUGUAGGGGUGAAAUCCGUAGAUAUCAGGAGGAAAACCAGCGGCGAAGGCGGCUUCCUGGCCAGAGACUGACGCUGAGGUGCGAAAGCAUGGGUAGCAAACAGG